RNAcentral lists this ribosomal RNA (433 nucleotides) under uncultured bacterium. Its description in RNAcentral is "bacterial SSU rRNA". It matches the Rfam family "Bacterial small subunit ribosomal RNA", at positions 29 to 506 of the family's 1533-position model. The record is from RNAcentral.
ACGAACGCUGGCGGCAGGCUUAACACAUGCAAGUCGAACGGUUGUAGCAAUACAGCAGUGGCAGACGGGUGAGUAACACGUGGGAACCUGCCUUGAGGUUCGGGACAACCGCGGGAAACUGCGGCUGAUACCGGAUGAUGUCUUUGGACCAAAGAUUUAUCGCCUUGAGAGGGGCCCGCGUCGGAUUAGGUAGUUGGUGAGGUAACGGCUCACCAAGCCUUUGAUCCGUAACUGGUCUGAGAGGAUGGCCAGUCACACUGGGACUGAGACACGGCCCAGACUCCUACGGGAGGCAGCAGUGGGGAGUAUUGGACAAUGGGGGCAACCCUGAGCCAGCAAUGCCGCGUGGGUGAUGAAGGCCCUCGGGUUGUAAAGCCCUUUCGGCGGGGACGAUGAUGACGGUACCCGCAGAAGAAGCCCCGGCUAACUUCGU